This 1698-nucleotide ribosomal RNA is filed under the name Paenibacillus pinihumi DSM 23905 = JCM 16419. Its description in RNAcentral is "bacterial LSU rRNA". It matches the Rfam family "Bacterial large subunit ribosomal RNA", at positions 1224 to 2925 of the family's 2925-position model. The record is from RNAcentral. Lineage: Bacteria; Bacillati; Bacillota; Bacilli; Caryophanales; Paenibacillaceae.
UUGGGUAGGGGAGCGUUGAAUACGGAUUGAAGUCAGACCGGAAGGACUGGUGGACUGUAUUCAAGUGAGAAUGCCGGUAUGAGUAACGAAAAGACAAGUGAGAAUCUUGUCCGCCGAAAGCCUAAGGGUUCCUGAGGAAGGCUCGUCCGCUCAGGGUAAGUCGGGACCUAAGGCGAGGCCGAAAGGCGUAGUCGAAGGACAACAGGUUGAAAUUCCUGUACCACCGAAGAUUGUUUGAGCAAUGGGGUGACACAGAAGGAUAGUGACGCGGACUGAUGGAUGUCCGUCCAAGCAGUGAGGCUGAUGUGUAGGCAAAUCCGCACAUCGUAAGGCUGGGCUGUGAUGGGGAGCGAAAAUUGCAGUAGCGAAGGUCAUGAGUUCAGGCUGUCAAGAAAAGCCUCUAGUGAGAUCUAGGUGCCCGUACCGCAAACCGACACAGGUAGGCGAGCAGAGCAUGCUAAGGCGCGCGGAAGAACUCUCGUUAAGGAACUCGGCAAAAUGACCCCGUAACUUCGGGAGAAGGGGUGCCUCGGUAGGGUGAAUAGCCCGAGGGGGCCGCAGUGAAAAGGCCCAAGCGACUGUUUAGCAAAAACACAGGUCUGUGCGAAGCCGUAAGGCGAAGUAUACGGGCUGACGCCUGCCCGGUGCUGGAAGGUUAAGGGGAGCGGUUAGGAGCAAUCCGAAGCUGUGAACCGAAGCCCCAGUAAACGGCGGCCGUAACUAUAACGGUCCUAAGGUAGCGAAAUUCCUUGUCAGGUAAAUUCUGACCCGCACGAAUGGCGUAACGACUUGGGCGCUGUCUCAACGAGAGAUCCGGUGAAAUUUUAAUACCUGUGAAGAUGCAGGUUACCCGCGACAAGACGGAAAGACCCCAUGGAGCUUUACUGCAGCUUGAUAUUGGACUUUGGUACGAUCUGUACAGGAUAGGUGGGAGCCUAAGAAGCCUGAGCGCCAGCUUGGGUGGAGGCGCCGUUGGGAUACCACCCUGAUCGUAUCGGAGUUCUAACCUGCCACCCUGAAUCGGGUGGAGGGACCGUGUCAGGCGGGCAGUUUGACUGGGGCGGUCGCCUCCUAAAAUGUAACGGAGGCGCCCCAAGGUUCCCUCAGAAUGGUUGGAAAUCAUUCGAAGAGUGCAAAGGCAUAAGGGAGCUUGACUGCGAGACCAACAAGUCGAGCAGGGACGAAAGUCGGGCUUAGUGAUCCGGUGGUACCGAAUGGAAGGGCCAUCGCUCAACGGAUAAAAGCUACCCUGGGGAUAACAGGCUUAUCUCCCCCAAGAGUCCACAUCGACGGGGAGGUUUGGCACCUCGAUGUCGGCUCAUCGCAUCCUGGGGCUGAAGUAGGUCCCAAGGGUUGGGCUGUUCGCCCAUUAAAGCGGUACGCGAGCUGGGUUCAGAACGUCGUGAGACAGUUCGGUCCCUAUCUGUCGUGGGCGUAGGAAAUUUGAGAGGAGCUGUCCUUAGUACGAGAGGACCGGGAUGGACGUACCGCUGGUGUACCAGUUGUUCCGCCAGGAGCACCGCUGGGUAGCUAUGUACGGACGGGAUAAGCGCUGAAAGCAUCUAAGCGCGAAGCCCCCCUCAAGAUGAGAUUUCCCAAUUAGUAAGACCCCUUGAAGACGACGAGGUUGAUAGGCUGGGGGUGGAAGCACAGCAAUGUGUGGAGCUGACCAGUACUAAUCGGUCGAGGGCUUAUCCU